CCUGACUGCUAUCGGAUUGAUACUAAGCCAUGCGAGUCUUUGCAGUAAUGCAAGGCGGACUGCUCAGUAACACGUAGUCAACUUACCCUAUGGACGAGGAUAAUCUCGGGAAACUGAGCAUAAUACUCGAUAGAUCAUAAUGCCUGGAAUGGUUUAUGGUUGAAAUGAUUCGUCGCCAUAGGAUGGGACUGCGGCCUAUCAGCUUGUUGGUGAGGUAAUGGCCCACCAAGGCGAUUACAGGUACGGGCUCUGAGAGGAGAAGCCCGGAGAUGGGUACUGAGACAAGGACCCAGGCCCUAUGGGGCGCAGCAGGCGAGAAAACUUUGCAAUGUGCGAAAGCACGACAAGGUUAAUCCGAGUGAUUUCUGCUAAAGAAAUCUUUUGCAAGUCAUAAAACCACUAGUGAAUAAGGGGUGGGCAAGUUCUGGUGUCAGCCGCCGCGGUAAAACCAGCACCUCAAGUGGUCAGGAGGAUUAUUGGGCCUAAAGCAUCCGUAGCCGGCUCUGUAAGUUUUCGGUUAAAUCCAUGUGCUCAACGCAUGGGCUGCCGAAAAUACUGCAUAGCUAGGGAGUGGGAGAGGUAGACGGUACUCGGUAGGAAGGGGUAAAAUCCUUUGAUCUAUCGAUGACCACCUGUGGCGAAGGCGGUCUACCAGAACACGUUCGACGGUGAGGGAUGAAAGCUGGGGGAGCAAACCGGAUUAGAUACCCGGGUAGUCCCAGCUGUAAACGAUGCAGACUCGAUGAUGCAUUGGCAUAUAGCCAGUGCAGUGUCGCAGGGAAGCCGUUAAGUCUGCCGCCUGGGAAGUACGUACGCAAGUAUGAAACUUAAAGGAAUUGGCGGGGGAGCACCACAAGGGGUGAAGCCUGCGGUUC
This 875-nucleotide ribosomal RNA is filed under the name uncultured archaeon. RNAcentral describes it as "bacterial SSU rRNA". It matches the Rfam family "Archaeal small subunit ribosomal RNA", at positions 21 to 903 of the family's 1478-position model. The record is from RNAcentral.